RNAcentral lists this ribosomal RNA (494 nucleotides) under uncultured bacterium. Its description in RNAcentral is "partial 16S ribosomal RNA". It matches the Rfam family "Bacterial small subunit ribosomal RNA", at positions 28 to 507 of the family's 1533-position model. The record is from RNAcentral.
GACGAACGCUGGCGGCGUGCUUAACACAUGCAAGUCGAACGGUGAAGCGCCUUCCUUUUUGGUGGGUGUGGAUGAGUGGCGAACGGGUGAGUAACACGUGAGUAACCUGCCCCCUUCUUCUGGAUAACCGCAUGAAAGUGUGGCUAAUACGGGAUAUUCUGGGUCUGUCGCAUGAUGGGUCUGGGAAAGAUAUUGUUUCGGUGGGGGAUGGGCUCGCGGCCUAUCAGCUUGUUGGUGGGGUGAUGGCCUACCAAGGCGGUGACUGGUAGCCGGCCUGAGAGGGUGGACGGUCACACUGGGACUGAGACACGGCCCAGACUCCUACGGGAGGCAGCAGUGGGGAAUAUUGCACAAUGGGCGCAAGCCUGAUGCAGCGACGCCGCGUGAGGGAUGGAGGCCUUCGGGUUGUGAACCUCUUUCGCCAGUGAAGCAGGCCUGCCUCGUUUGUGGGUGGGUUGACGGUAGCUGGAGAAGAAGCGCCGGCUAACUACGUG